RNAcentral lists this ribosomal RNA (442 nucleotides) under uncultured Actinomycetes bacterium. RNAcentral's name for it is "bacterial SSU rRNA". It matches the Rfam family "Bacterial small subunit ribosomal RNA", at positions 917 to 1359 of the family's 1533-position model. Lineage: Bacteria; Bacillati; Actinomycetota; Actinomycetes. The record is from RNAcentral.
GGGCCCGCACAAGCGGCGGAGCAUGCGGAUUAAUUCGAUGCAACGCGAAGAACCUUACCAAGGCUUGACAUGCACUGGAAGUCAUCAGAGAUGGUGGUGCCUUCGGGCUGGUGCACAGGUGGUGCAUGGUUGUCGUCAGCUCGUGUCGUGAGAUGUUGGGUUAAGUCCCGCAACGAGCGCAACCCUCGUCCUAUGUUGCCAGCACGUUAUGGUGGGGACUCAUAGGAGACUGCCGGGGUCAACUCGGAGGAAGGUGGGGACGACGUCAAAUCAUCAUGCCCCUUAUGUCUUGGGCUUCACGCAUGCUACAAUGGCCGGUACAGACCGCUGCGAUACCGUGAGGUGGAGCGAAUCGGAAAAAGCCGGGUCUCAGUUCGGAUCGGGGUCUGCAACUCGACCCCGUGAAGUUGGAGUCGCUAGUAAUCGCAGAUCAGCAACGCUG